UAGUGGUGCACACCUGUACUCCUCACCCCUUCCUCCCCAACACAGAAAAAGCAGAAAGGACCAAGUCCCCAAAUUAGUGCAGGGGGUCCAGAUGCAUGGGUGGGACUUCUGUGAACUACAUUCGCUUCCUAGCUGUGAAACGGAGCCUCUGAGCGUUAAGCCAUCCCUCAGGACCCUUGAACCAGGCCCGACCCCACGCAGAACCUGCCAGUGGUAAACCUGUCCUGUCAUACUUCUGAGCUGGGCGGGCUCCAGCCCUCCCUCACAGGCCCGAGAGGCCACCGGAGGUAGAACCUUCAGAGCCAGCUCAGCAGGUGACUAAGGGCUAACGAGGCCCCGUCAGUGCACCAGGUGGUCCAGUGAGCCGUGGAGGGAGUGAGCCCAUGAGAGCUGGGUUCCCACGAAGGCUGGGCUUCCACUGGGACUGAGAGACUUUAUUUGCUGAUGACAGCUCCGGGAGCUUUUUGAAUUUGCUUUCCUUCCCUAGCGUUGCAAGGCCACAGCGGCCCCUUGUAAGAGCUCACAGUGAGGCACUCACAUUGUGUCAGCCUUGGGUUUCGCUGGAGGCUCAGCUGUCAGCUGUGGGGUUGGCUCACGUAGCCGUCCCAUCUUCUGCUGUAUAGGAAUUCACAGUGCAGUGGCUCCUGCGGUGACCAGAACAAGAACUGCCACUUGCUAGAAGGAUAGCCCUGGGAGAGAGAUUAGCAUCACUAUUGUGUGGACAAGGAAACCGAGGCACCGAGAAGUCAAGUAAUUUGUCUACAGUUGCACAGCAAGGAAAUAGCAGAAGGGAGACUUUGUUUGUUUGGUUGGUUGGUUGGUUGGUUGGUUUUUGAGACAGAGUCACUCUGUAGCCCAGGCUAGAGUGCAGUAGCACAAUCUUGGCUCACUACAGCCUCCGCCUCCCAGGCUCAAGUCAUCCUAGAAGGGAGAUUUUUAACCCAGGACCUGAGGACACUCUAAUCUGAGUGCUCUCUGAGGUCUCCCAGAAGGGAGGAAUUCUGUGGUACAUUCAUGAUGUGACCAGAGAGAGGAUGGCGCCUAUGAAGAAGACAGAGGUACCACACUGACCCUGCGUGCAGCCGUCUCUGGGGAAGGCAGUAUGCAGAAGAGAAAGCCAGAGGCCCCAGGUCAGAAGUGUCAGGCACGGAAACAGGCAACCCUUUCUUGGGAAGGAAGGGCUAAGGCACAGGGCAGUGAGGCCAGCACGGAGGGGCCGCUCACCAGCCCCGGGCCUCCAGGGAUAGCAAACACGCAGCCAUCUCUGCCCAGCCCUGCCUGUGAAGCGACCUCCACAGAUCCGCAGGCUGGAGCCAAGGCGUGCAUUCCUUGAGUGGGGUUUCAGCUGCAAAUUCUACACCCUUUGUCCACUGUUUAACGAAAAUGUGACAUGUCUUGCCCUCAGUCCAGCGCUUUCUCACCCCCAAUACCAUCCUACCAUCCUCAAAGGGAGCCGUUGUGAGGAGCCCAGUUUCUGUCUAUCCAGGUGUACAUUUACCUCUGUGUCUGCAGACACAUUCUAUUAGAAGCAAACAAUGGAUUACGCUUUAA
This is a non-coding RNA of Macaca mulatta (Rhesus monkey), 1551 nucleotides long. The record is from RefSeq and is a predicted model, not a curated record. NCBI's taxonomy places the organism in Eukaryota, Metazoa, Chordata, Mammalia, Primates, Cercopithecidae.